This 496-nucleotide ribosomal RNA is filed under the name uncultured bacterium. RNAcentral describes it as "partial 16S ribosomal RNA". It matches the Rfam family "Bacterial small subunit ribosomal RNA", at positions 28 to 506 of the family's 1533-position model. The record is from RNAcentral.
GACGAACGCUGGCGGCGUGCCUAAUACAUGCAAGUUGAGCGCUGAAGGUUGGUACUUGUACCAACUGGAUGAGCAGCGAACGGGUGAGUAGCGCGUGGGGAAUCUGCCUUUGAGCGGGGGACAACAUUUGGAAACGAAUGCUAAUACCGCAUAAAAACUUUAAACACAAGUUUUAAGUUUGAAAGAUGCAAUUGCAUCACUCAAAGAUGAUCCCGCGUUGUAUUAGCUAGUUGGUGAGGUAAAGGCUCACCAAGGCGAUGAUACAUAGCCGACCUGAGAGGGUGAUCGGCCACAUUGGGACUGAGACACGGCCCAAACUCCUACGGGAGGCAGCAGUAGGGAAUCUUCGGCAAUGGACGAAAGUCUGACCGAGCAACGCCGCGUGAGUGAAGAAGGUUUUCGGAUCGUAAAACUCUGUUGGUAGAGAAGAACGUUGGUGAGAGUGGAAAGCUCAUCAAGUGACGGUAACUACCCAGAAAGGGACGGCUAACUACGU